The sequence is an unclassified non-coding RNA, 296 nucleotides long. Its record names the gene 7SK. It matches the Rfam family "7SK RNA". Rfam says of the family: 7SK was discovered as an abundant small nuclear RNA in the mid-70s but a possible function has only recently been suggested. The record is from Ensembl.
UGUGAGGGUGAUCAGGCCGUGUCAUCUGUCACCCCAUUGACUGCCGGGGUUGAUUUGACUGGUUGAUUGGCUAGGUGAGCUGCAUAUUCAGCUGAAGAGGACAACCUUCCCCAAUUGAGGAGGACCGUUCUUUGAUCAAGGAUAUAUGAGUACUUGCACUCCCCUGCUAGGACCUCCAAACAAGCUCUCAAGGUCCAUUUGUAGGAGAACAUAAGUGUAUUCAAGCUUCCAAGACUCCAGACUCAUCCAAAAAAAAAAACAAAACGCUAACCGCCAAGGAAAAGUAAGAUUAUUUU